RNAcentral lists this ribosomal RNA (462 nucleotides) under uncultured bacterium. Its description in RNAcentral is "partial 16S ribosomal RNA". It matches the Rfam family "Bacterial small subunit ribosomal RNA", at positions 28 to 507 of the family's 1533-position model. The record is from RNAcentral.
GACGAACGCUGGCGGCGUGCUUAACACAUGCAAGUCGAGCGGUAAGGCCUUUCGGGGUACCCGAGCGGCGAACGGGUGAGUAACACGUGGGUGAUCUGCCCUGCACUUCGGGAUAAGCCUGGGAAACUGGGUCUAAUACCGGAUAUGACCUCCUAUCGCAUGGUGGGUGGUGGAAAGAUUUAUCGGUGCAGGAUGGGCCCGCGGCCUAUCAGCUUGUUGGUGGGGUAAUGGCCUACCAAGGCGACGACGGGUAGCCGACCUGAGAGGGUGACCGGCCACACUGGGACUGAGACACGGCCCAGACUCCUACGGGAGGCAGCAGUGGGGAAUAUUGCACAAUGGGCGAAAGCCUGAUGCAGCAACGCCGCGUGAGGGAUGACGGCCUUCGGGUUGUAAACCUCUUUCAGCAGGGACGAAGCGCAAGUGACGGUACCUGCAGAAGAAGCACCGGCUAACUACGUG